This 2463-nucleotide long non-coding RNA is filed under the name Struthio camelus australis. Its description in RNAcentral is "lncRNA (ENSSCUG00000010842.1)". The record is from RNAcentral. Lineage: Eukaryota; Metazoa; Chordata; Aves; Struthioniformes; Struthionidae.
CUGUCUCUACAAUGGUUUUCUACAGCUUCCCACCUCUGGGAAGGGCAGCUCCUGCCACCCAGUAACAGGGUUUACGUGAGCUGGGCGUUGCUGAGGAGGGACGGGCACGCUUCACCUCAAGGUAAAACUCUUGUACUUGCAGUGUAUCAUCAGCCAUACAAAAACAGCAGCCACUUGACUGCAUCUUCUUGUGUAAAAAGGCAGUUCCUUUUGUUCUGUGGUUGGCAUCAGGAACUUCACGCCAGUGAUUUUUUUUUUUCAAGUUGUUGUUUUCUCUUCUCCUGUUUGAACGAGCCUCCGAGCCUCCGUGCCUCCCCUCACCCCACCGCCACCUUUUUGCAGUCUCACCUACCGGUUUUGUCUCUUGAUGACGCCACGCAGACGUCUCACGGCGUGUCCCGGGCCAGCAUGGGAGCAGGGGCACCCUCGCACCUAGGCAAAGGCAGGCUGGAGGAAGGAGGCGGUGGCAGAGGGCAGCGAAGGUCCCUGCUGACAGCUCUGCCUCUAGGCGCAGGUUGAAAGGAAGGCCCUCGCCUGCACUUGUGGGACGAGGUGCUGGGUGACCAUCCCCCCACAGGAGAGCGACACCUCCCAGCCUGCCGGUAAGACCCUGCGGUGUUGAGCUGGUUCAGCUGCCUCCCGGCGGUGCCCCCAGUGCCCUGCACGGCAGCAUCGCCCCUCGCCUGCACAGGGCGGCUCCUUCUCCCACCUUCUCCACCAGAAACGAUCUCCAGUUGCCUUGCACAUGCCCCUGCCCAGUGGCAUGGAGCGGCUUCCCAAAGGGAAGGUAAUAGACGAGAGGCUCAAACCCAGACAGGUCCACCUCCUUUCACCCACCUAGAUUUGCUAGCAUUAAGCUUAAACCUGUGGGCUGAAUCCCUGCUACCGGGCUCUUCUGGUGGCACGUGCCUUUUGGCUCUGGUCACCCUGCUUGUGAGAUGUCUGGGGCCGUUGUCAUUGCGCCUACCUGCUGACCAAAUGCAAAGCCUGGCUCCACUGCCUCCGUGACACAGGACAAGGGGGUCUGCCCCAUGUUUGUCUGGAGAACAGCCAAGCUGGGAGCUGGGCUUUAUCUUUUGUUGUUCAGCAAGAGUUUGGUUUUAGGUGCUGAGCUGACUCUCUGAAAGGCCUGGACUGCUUUGAGGCCCUGCCUGUGCAGGGAAAAACAUGCCUUGCGAGCACCCUGCUCUUCAUAGCCUGCAGCAAGAGUGCACGGCAGCACUGGGAGGGCUGAAGCACAGUUCAGAGUUUAUGUGCAUAACCCGGUUUUCUAAAAACAGAACACUUACUCAGAAAUAGAGUAGAGGUGCCACUUGACUUUACUCCAGCCCUUUUAUAUAUAGUCCUUAUUUCUCCUGAUUUUACUUCAGCAGUUACUAUAUGAAUUGAAGCUUAGAAGUGGUGUGGAGGGGGAGAGAGGACUUAGGAUCAACUUAUAUGUUCAGUUGUUGAGCUGAAGUUGCUGGUUUAAUGGAUACGGGGAGGUCAUGGCUGUGGAGUUCCCUCUGCAAAACCUUUUUAAAGACUAGCCUUCAUCCAUCAAACGACUGAAACUGGUGGUGGGGGUGUUAGUUAAUAUUAUCUCAAAUGAAACCUGAAUCUCUUUUUUUUUUCCCCCAGGGAAUAGAACACUAACAUUCUCAUUACUGUUUUUCUUCCUUUUUUUUUUUUUUUAAGUAGCAUAGAGAAGCAGCAAACCCAAGAGCUUUAUUUUCCUGCAAUAUGGGACUAUGCAGAGCUUUUGCAAUAUAUGCUUGGUUUAGCCUCAAGCCUUUUCAAGGGAGAUGCUUGGGACCAGCUCCAGGAACCAACAUGGCUCAAAACCGAUAGUCAAAAUGAAGGGAAGAGAGCACUGGGAGUCUGACCUUACCUUUAAGCACCUUGACCUUGGAGGCUGCAAUAGGCUCCUUUCAGUUUGUCGUGCAACUUAGAAGAACCCCUAAAACAUCAACUAAACACUUCGAAGAACUGCAGUGUUCCCGCCACCCCUUUCCUUGAUAUGCCUCAAGAUGAUGUAAAUGAGAGCUGCAUUUACUUUGGAGAUUCCCAAACUGAUGAAUCAAGGUCUCUGCUUAUGAAAGCAACUCAAAGCACACAUAAAUAGGAGGCCAGUCUCUUUCUUUCUUGGCGUUUUUACAAAGCUAUGGCAAUGUAAAUAGAGACUCAUAACAGCCACAACAUAGAUCACUAGAGGAGCCUGAAGUGUCUUCCUAGAAAAGAUUCACAUAUGCAUGAAUCUUUGGCCCAGAUUGUUUUAAGUAGAGCUAAACAAAAACUGCUCUUUUUAGACACUUAGGCUGCUCUACUCAGUUAGGGAAUUUAAAAGUGAGGGACUUCUUUCCAUUUAAAGAAUUGACCUGAUUUUUCUUUCUUCAAUGGUGCCAAGGAACUUCUGAAAAAAUGGCUUGCCUCCUUCCAAAGAUUUUCCUACUUCAUUUUAAUAAAGGCAAUGUAUGAUCAGCA